RNAcentral lists this ribosomal RNA (292 nucleotides) under uncultured bacterium. RNAcentral describes it as "partial 16S ribosomal RNA". The record is from RNAcentral.
GGACUACAAGGGUAUCUAAUCCUGUUUGCUCCCCACGCUUUCGCGCCUCAGCGUCAGUAUCGGUCCAGUGAGCCGCCUUCGCCACCGGUGUUCUUCCCAAUAUCUACGAAUUUCACCUCUACACUGGGAAUUCCACCCACCUCUCCCGAACUCUAGCCAAAGAGUCCCAAAUGCUGUUCCCAGGUUGAGCCCGGGGCUUUCACAUCUGACUUCCUUGGCCGCCUGCGCGCCCUUUACGCCCAGUAAUUCCGAACAACGCUUGCCCCCUUCGUAUUACCGCGGCUGCUGGCAC